UCUGGCUCAGGAUGAACGCUAGCUACAGGCUUAACACAUGCAAGUCGAGGGGCAGCAUUGGAGUAGCAAUACUUCAGAUGGCGACCGGCGCACGGGUGAGUAACACGUAUCCAACCUGCCGCUUACUCGGGGAUAGCCUUUCGAAAGAAAGAUUAAUACCCGAUGGUAUAAAGAGUUCGCAUGUUCUCUUUAUUAAAGAAUUUCGGUAAGCGAUGGGGAUGCGUUCCAUUAGAUAGUUGGCGGGUAACGGCCCACCAAGUCUACGAUGGAUAGGGGUUCUGAGAGGAAGGUCCCCCACAUUGGAACUGAGACACGGUCCAAACUCCUACGGGAGGCAGCAGUGAGGAAUAUUGGUCAAUGGACGCGAGUCUGAACCAGCCAAAGUAGCGUGAAGGAUGACUGCCCUAUGGGUUGUAAACUUCUUUUAUAAGGGAAUAAAGUGAGGGACGUGUCCCUUUUUGUAUGUACCUUAUGAAUAAGGAUCGGCUAACUCCGUGCCAGCCGCGGC
This 508-nucleotide ribosomal RNA is filed under the name uncultured bacterium. RNAcentral describes it as "bacterial SSU rRNA". It matches the Rfam family "Bacterial small subunit ribosomal RNA", at positions 18 to 518 of the family's 1533-position model. The record is from RNAcentral.